This 197-nucleotide ribosomal RNA is filed under the name uncultured bacterium. RNAcentral's name for it is "partial 16S ribosomal RNA". It matches the Rfam family "Bacterial small subunit ribosomal RNA", at positions 328 to 539 of the family's 1533-position model. The record is from RNAcentral.
ACGCUCGACACCUACGGGGGCAGCAGUGGGGAAUAUUGCACAAUGGGGGAAACCCUGAUGCAGCGACGCCGCGUGAGCGAAGAAGUAUUUCGGUAUGUAAAGCUCUAUCAGCAGGGAAGAAACUGACGGUACCUGACUAAGAAGCACCGGCUAAAUACGUGCCGGCAGUCGCGGUAAUCUGAGCGGGCUGGCAAGGC